GAUGAACGCUGGCGGCGUGCCUAAUACAUGCCAGUCGAGCGAACGGACGAGGAGCUUGCUCCUCUGAUGUUAGCGGCGGACGGGUGAGUAACACGUGGAUAACCUACCUAUAAGACUGGGAUAACUUCGGGAAACCGGAGCUAAUACCGGAUAAUAUUUUGAACCGCAUGGUUCAAAAGUGAAAGACGGUCUUGCUGUCACUUAUAGAUGGAUCCGCGCUGCAUUAGCUAGUUGGUAAGGUAACGGCUUACCAAGGCAACGAUGCAUAGCCGACCUGAGAGGGUGAUCGGCCACACUGGAACUGAGACACGGUCCAGACUCCUACGGGAGGCAGCAGUAGGGAAUCUUCCGCAAUGGGCGAAAGCCUGACGGAGCAACGCCGCGUGAGUGAUGAAGGUCUUCGGAUCGUAAAACUCUGUUAUUAGGGAAGAACAUAUGUGUAAGUAACUGUGCACAUCUUGACGGUACCUAAUCAGAAAGCCACGGCUAACUACGUG
Molecule: ribosomal RNA, 497 nt
Filed under: uncultured bacterium
Lineage: Bacteria
Description: partial 16S ribosomal RNA
Rfam family: Bacterial small subunit ribosomal RNA
Source: RNAcentral